RNAcentral lists this ribosomal RNA (680 nucleotides) under Microbacterium oleivorans. RNAcentral's name for it is "bacterial SSU rRNA". It matches the Rfam family "Bacterial small subunit ribosomal RNA", at positions 78 to 771 of the family's 1533-position model. Lineage: Bacteria; Bacillati; Actinomycetota; Actinomycetes; Micrococcales; Microbacteriaceae. The record is from RNAcentral.
GCUUGCUCUGUGGAUCAGUGGCGAACGGGUGAGUAACACGUGAGCAACCUGCCCCUGACUCUGGGAUAAGCGCUGGAAACGGCGUCUAAUACCGGAUAUGAGCUGCGAUCGCAUGGUCAGCAGUUGGAAAGAUUUUUCGGUCUGGGAUGGGCUCACGGCCUAUCAGCUUGUUGGUGAGGUAAUGGCUCACCAAGGCGUCGACGGGUAGCCGGCCUGAGAGGGUGACCGGCCACACUGGGACUGAGACACGGCCCAGACUCCUACGGGAGGCAGCAGUGGGGAAUAUUGCACAAUGGGCGAAAGCCUGAUGCAGCAACGCCGCGUGAGGGAUGACGGCCUUCGGGUUGUAAACCUCUUUUAGCAGGGAAGAAGCGAAAGUGACGGUACCUGCAGAAAAAGCGCCGGCUAACUACGUGCCAGCAGCCGCGGUAAUACGUAGGGCGCAAGCGUUAUCCGGAAUUAUUGGGCGUAAAGAGCUCGUAGGCGGUUUGUCGCGUCUGCUGUGAAAUCCCGAGGCUCAACCUCGGGUCUGCAGUGGGUACGGGCAGACUAGAGUGCGGUAGGGGAGAUUGGAAUUCCUGGUGUAGCGGUGGAAUGCGCAGAUAUCAGGAGGAACACCGAUGGCGAAGGCAGAUCUCUGGGCCGUUACUGACGCUGAGGAGCGAAAGGGUGGGGAGCAA